Molecule: ribosomal RNA, 408 nt
Filed under: uncultured microorganism
Description: bacterial SSU rRNA
Rfam family: Bacterial small subunit ribosomal RNA
Source: RNAcentral
GAGUUUGAUCGUGGCUCAGAUUGAACGCUGGCGGCAUGCCUUACACAUGCAAGUCGAACGGUAACAGGUCUUCGGAUGCUGACGAGUGGCGAACGGGUGAGUAAUACAUCGGAACGUGCCCGAUCGUGGGGGGAUAACGAAGCGAAAGCUUUGCUAAUACCGCAUACGAUCUACGGAUGAAAGCAGGGGACCGCAAGGCCUUGCGCGAACGGAGCGGCCGAUGGCAGAUUAGGUAGUUGGUGGGAUAAAAGCUUACCAAGCCGACGAUCUGUAGCUGGUCUGAGAGGACGACCAGCCACACUGGGACUGAGACACGACCCAGACUCCUACGGGAGGCAGCAGUGGGGAAUUUUGGACAAUGGGCGAAAGCCUGAUCCAGCCAUGCCGCGUGCAGGAUGAAGGCCUCGG